Molecule: ribosomal RNA, 428 nt
Filed under: uncultured Myxococcales bacterium
Lineage: Bacteria; Pseudomonadati; Myxococcota; Myxococcia; Myxococcales
Description: bacterial SSU rRNA
Rfam family: Bacterial small subunit ribosomal RNA
Source: RNAcentral
UCGGGAAUCUUCCGCAAUGGGCGAAAGCCUGACGGAGCGACGCCGCGUGAGUGAUGAAGGCCUUCGGGUUGUAAAGCUCUGUGGGGAGGGAAGAAUAAGUUCAAGCGAAUACCUUGAAUGAUGACGGUACCUCCUUAGCAAGCACCGGCUAACUCUGUGCCAGCAGCCGCGGUAAGACAGAGGGUGCAAACGUUGUUCGGAUUUACUGGGCGUAAAGCGCGUGUAGGCGGCUUUGCAAGUCGGAUGUGAAAGCCCACGGCUCAACCGUGGAAGUGCAUCCGAAACUGCAUGGCUGGAGUCUCGGAGAGGAAGGUGGAAUGCUUGGUGUAGAGGUGAAAUUCGUAGAUAUCAAGCAGAACACCUGCGGCGAAGGCGGCCUUCUGGACGAUGACUGACGCUGAGACGCGAAAGCGUGGGGAGCAAACAGG